UGUAGGCGAAGCGAAAGCGAGUCUGAAUAGGGCGACUGAGUAUGUUGGAUUAGACCCGAAACCCGGCGAUCUAGGCAUGAGCAGAUUGAAGGUGCGGUAACACGCACUGGAGGAUCGAACCGUUGCAUGUUGAAAAAUGCUCGGAUGACUUGUGUUUAGGGGUGAAAGGCCAAUCAAGCCGGGAAAUAGCUGGUUCUCCGCGAAAUCUAUUGAGGUAGAGCGUCAGAUGUAUGCCGAUGGGGGUAGAGCACUGGAUGGGCUAGGGCUGCGCGAGCGGUACCAAACCUAACCAAACUCCGAAUACCAUCGAGUCUUGUCUGGCAGACAGACGGCGGGUGCUAAGGUCCGUCGUCAAAAGGGAAACAGCCCUAACCUACAGCUAAGGUCCCCAAGUCAUAUCUAAGUGGGAAAGCAUGUGGGAAUCCCAAAACAACCAGGAGGUUGGCUUAGAAGCAGCCAUCCUUUAAAGAAAGCGUAACAGCUCACUGGUCUAAAUAAGGGUUCCUGCGGCGAAGAUGUAACGGGGCUAAAGAUAUGCACCGAAGCUUAGGGUUGCAGUUUACUGCAGCGGUAGCGGAGCGUUCCGUAGGCGAGUGAAGGAGAAGGGUAACCGACUCUGGACGUAUCGGAAGUGCGAAUGCUGACAUGAGUAGCGACUAACAGGGUGAGAUACCCUGUCGCCGAAAGACCAAGGGUUCCUACGCAAUGCUAAUCAGCGUAGGGUGAGCCGGCCCCUAAGACGAGCCCGAAGGGGGUAGUCGAUGGGAACCACGUUAAUAUUCGUGGGCCUGGUGGUGUGUGACGGAUCUCGCGUGUUGUACGUCCUUAUCGGAUUGGACGUGCCUCGAAGAGGUCCCGGGAAAUAGCCCCACCGUAUAGACCGUACCCGAAACCGACACAGGUGGUCAGGUAGAGUAUACCAAGGCGCUUGAGAGAAGUGUCCUGAAGGAACUCGGCAAAUUGCCUCCGUACCUUCGGAAGAAGGAGGCCCCAUGUAAGCGCAAGCUCUCAUGGGGGGCACAGGCCAGGGGGUAGCGACUGUUUAGCAAAAACACAGGGCUCUGCUAAGUCGGCUUCAAGACGACGUAUAGGGCCCGACGCCUGCCCGGUGCCUGAAGGUUAAGUGGAGGAGUGCAAGCUCUGAAAUGAAGCCCAGGUAAACGGCGGCCGUAACUAUAACGGUCCUAAGGUAGCGAAAUUCCUUGUCGGGUAAGUUCCGACCUGCACGAAUGGCGUAACGACUUCCCCACUGUCUCCAGGAUAUGCUCAGCGAAAUUGAAUUCUCCGUGAAGAUGCGGAGUACCCGCGGUUAGACGGAAAGACCCCGUGCACCUUUACUGCAGCUUCAGAGUGGCAUUAGGAAAUAACUGUGUAGCAUAGGUGGGAGGCUUUGAAACGAUGACGCCAGUUGUCGUGGAGCCAUAGGUGAAAUACCACCCUGUUGUUUUCUGAUGUCUAACCUCGCACCGUUAUCCGGUGCAGGGACCCUCUGUGGCGGGUAGUUUGACUGGGGCGGUCGCCUCCUAAAGAGUAACGGAGGCGCGCGAUGGUAGGCUCAGGACGGUUGGAAACCGUCUGCAAGAGUGCAAUGGCAUAAGCCUGCCUGACUGCGAGACUGACGAGUCGAGCAGAGACGAAAGUCGGUCAUAGUGAUCCGGUGGUCCCUCGUGGAAGGGCCAUCGCUCAACGGAUAAAAGGUACGCCGGGGAUAACAGGCUGAUGAUUCCCAAGAGCUCAUAUCGACGGAAUCGUUUGGCACCUCGAUGUCGGCUCAUCACAUCCUGGGGCUGGAGCAGGUCCCAAGGGUUUGGCUGUUCGCCAAUUAAAGUGGUACGUGAGCUGGGUUCAGAACGUCGCGAGACAGUUUGGUCCCUAUCUGCCGUGGGCGUCGAUACUUGAAAGGAGUUGCCCCUAGUACGAGAGGACCGGGGUGAACGUGCCUCUGGUGUACCUGUCAUCCUGCCAAGGGUGCCGCAGGGUAGCUAUGCACGGACGGGAUAACCGCUGAAAGCAUCUAAGCGGGAAGCCUCCCUUGAGAUUAGGUAUCUUUGAACCGUGAUAGACCAUCACGUUGAUAGGCCGGGUGUGGAAGUGCAGUAAUGUAUGGAGCUAACCGGUCCUAAUAGUUCAUAUCGCGCUUGAGAGU
RNAcentral lists this ribosomal RNA (2146 nucleotides) under marine metagenome. Its description in RNAcentral is "bacterial LSU rRNA". It matches the Rfam family "Bacterial large subunit ribosomal RNA", at positions 661 to 2925 of the family's 2925-position model. The record is from RNAcentral.